AAAUUGAAGAGUUUGAUCAUGGCUCAGAUUGAACGCUGGCGGCAGGCCUAACACAUGCAAGUCGAACGGUAACAGGAAGCAGCUUGCUGCUUCGCUGACGAGUGGCGGACGGGUGAGUAAUGUCUGGGAAACUGCCUGAUGGAGGGGGGUAACUACUGGAAACGGUGGCUAAUACCGCAUAACGUCGCAAGACCAAAGAGGGGGACC
This 207-nucleotide ribosomal RNA is filed under the name Salmonella enterica. RNAcentral describes it as "partial 16S ribosomal RNA". It matches the Rfam family "Bacterial small subunit ribosomal RNA", at positions 1 to 215 of the family's 1533-position model. Lineage: Bacteria; Pseudomonadati; Pseudomonadota; Gammaproteobacteria; Enterobacterales; Enterobacteriaceae. The record is from RNAcentral.